This 942-nucleotide long non-coding RNA is filed under the name Felis catus (domestic cat). RNAcentral describes it as "lncRNA (ENSFCAG00000046441.2)". The record is from RNAcentral. Lineage: Eukaryota; Metazoa; Chordata; Mammalia; Carnivora; Felidae.
AGCUAGCCUCUAGAAAAGACUGCUCAAAUAUCGUUUUGAUAAUGGUGCUGUCUCUUGCUAUCCGGAACACAUUUCCUGAUCUUUAUCAUUCGAUAUUCUGUGAACCAGCUGAAUGUUUUUCAGUCGGUGGCAUAUUUCUUCCUUGAUGUCCUGCACCAUUCCUAGUCUGGGAGCUUUGCUGUUGCCCCUGAACUUUGGAGUUCUCUGAGACUGUUGACUCUGAUUACUGGUGUUUCUGAGGAGGUGGAAAAACAGAGGAACCGUUUAGGAAUGGAGAGUGGAACUUCAGGCGGCAUGAGACGAGGUAAUACACAAAUACAGCGUUAUUGUAAAAGAUUCAAGGAAUACUUCUAUCCUGACCUCUUCCAGCCCUGCCCAGUCAGACAUAAUCAUGCACCCUGUCUUUCCCCUUAGAGCUUGGAGCAAAUUCCUGAAUGAAGAGUCACUGGUCCCCGGGAUCAAGCGGGGAGAGGCUGAGACCUGGUCACACUUGAAUGCCUGGCUAAUGAGCUUUGUAAGAAUUUUUUGAUUAAUAAGUGAAUGGAGUUUUCUGAGCCUUUAUCUCUUCAUCUGUAAAAUGAGGAUCAUCAAGCUUAUUGCAUAAAGUCCUGCCUCCCAUAAACCAAAAAAUUGUGAAUACUCUAGGCCCACACUAGAGACAGAGGCCUGUGCCACAGUAUCUUGCUUUUCUAGGAGUUUGGUGAUUAGAGGGGAAUGAUAAUUCCUGGCUGGUUGUUAUUUCAAAAGAUGAUUUUUUUUUUUGAUUAUUGGAGUAGUACACAUUCAUUUUAUAGAGAAUUUGGAAAAACUCAGGGAAGUUAAGAAUAGAAGAUAGAAAGUAAAAAUAUGUCACUGUAGGGCACCUUUUGGGAUGAGCACUGGGUGUUGUAUGGAAGCCAAUUUGACAAUAAAUUUCAUAUAUUGAAAAAAAUAAAAAUAAAA